GAUGAACGCUGGCGGCGUGCCUAAUACAUGCAAGUCGAGCGAACAGACGAGGGGCUUGCUCCUCUGACGUUAGCGGCGGACGGGUGAGUAACACGUGGAUAACCUACCUAUAAGACUGGGAUAACUUCGGGAAACCGGAGCUAAUACCGGAUAAUAUAUUGAACCGCAUGGUUCAAUAGUGAAAGACGGUUUUGCUGUCACUUAUAGAUGGAUCCGCGCCGCAUUAGCUAGUUGGUAAGGUAACGGCUUACCAAGGCAACGAUGCGUAGCCGACCUGAGAGAGUGAUCGGCCACACUGGAACUGAGACACGGUCCAGACUCCUACGGGAGGCAGCAGUAGGGAAUCUUCCGCAGUGGGCGAAAGCUUGACGGAGCAACGCCGCGUGAGUGAUGAAGGUCUUCGGAUCGUAAAACUCUGUUAUUAGGGAAGAACAAAUGUGUAAGUAACUAUGCACGUCUUGACGGUACCUAAUCAGAAAGCCACGGCUAACUACGUG
This 497-nucleotide ribosomal RNA is filed under the name uncultured bacterium. RNAcentral's name for it is "partial 16S ribosomal RNA". It matches the Rfam family "Bacterial small subunit ribosomal RNA", at positions 28 to 507 of the family's 1533-position model. The record is from RNAcentral.